UUAUGUUAAAAAAAUGAUAAAAAUUUACUAAAUGAUAAUAAAUUACUACACGAUAUUGUAUGUAAAAUCUACUUUAACUGUUUCUGUUAUAAUAGAUUGAUGCUUCUAUUAUCCAUUGUCGUCCAUCGAUGAAACUUAAAACUAAUUUAAUCUAUAAUAUUCGAAAUUAAAACGCAUGUAUUCCAUGGUGACCCUGUGAUAUCCUACGAUGUUCCAUGGUGUUCUCCCUAAGUGUUCUGCCUAAUAGUUUAUUUAUUUUUUAGAAGCAGUUCAGUUUAAAUAACCAAAAGACUGCGAAGAGAAUUUUGUAUAGUCAUUUUUAUAAAAAUUUUAUUUAAUGAACGAAAAGAACUAGGGGAGGAAAGUUUUUAUUUCUUCUUUCAAUUUAUGCAAGAUACGAAAUGCGCGCGCAAUAUUUUUAAUUUUAGUAAAGAUGGCAGCGCCAAUGAAAUUCCGUAAUUACGUAUCGCGAUUUUCAAAUAUAAUCGAUGUUUCUUGCAAUCGAUCUAAUCGAUCUAAUAUUGAGAUGUAACGUAAAACCGUUAGUUUUAGGUGAGAACGUGACAAAAAAGAUAGCAUGAAGCUGUUUAUUCAGAGAUUGUCAAGUAAAGACUAACGGCAUUUUCCAUCGGAUUUAAUGGUUUCUACUUGUUAGUGAUAUUUGCAAUUAUUUCAUCUGGGCCACAAUUACGUAUUAUAUGUCGUUCUUUUCAUCUAAGUGUUAUAUCAGAGAUAGCAUGGACGCCACGAUUAAGAAUGGACAAUUUGAUGAACUUUUAUGGAAAUUUGGUAACAUUUUAUUCAUUCUGGGUAUCAUAUGGU
Molecule: long non-coding RNA, 822 nt
Organism: Frieseomelitta varia
Lineage: Eukaryota; Metazoa; Arthropoda; Insecta; Hymenoptera; Apidae
Exons: 3
Source: RefSeq, a predicted model, not a curated record